This 256-nucleotide ribosomal RNA is filed under the name uncultured bacterium. Its description in RNAcentral is "partial 16S ribosomal RNA". It matches the Rfam family "Bacterial small subunit ribosomal RNA", at positions 524 to 776 of the family's 1533-position model. The record is from RNAcentral.
CACGUAGGGGGCAAGCGUUGUCCGGAUUUAUUGGGCGUAAAGAGCUCGUAGGCGGCUCGGUAAGUCGGGUGUGAAACCUCCAGGCUCAACCUGGAGACGCCACCCGAUACUGCUGUGGCUAGAGUCCGGUAGGGGAGUGUGGAAUUCCCUGGUGUAGCGGUGAAAUGCGCAGAUAUCGGGAGGAACACCAGUGGCGAAGGCGGCACUCUGGGCCGGUACUGACGCUGAGGAGCGAAAGCGUGGGGGAGCGAACAGG